UGCUAUCUUUAAAACGCCGACAACAGCUGGUCCGUAAUGCGUUUUAGUCCAUGGCAUAUGUACAAAUAUGUUUAAAUUGAUCUCAUUAAUUAUGUUAAAGAGCAUUUGGAUUGUGAAUUAAGGACGUAUUUAUGAAAAUCAUAAAUUGUUAGAUUUGCUUCCGGCAUGAAUAGUUCCUAACUAACCUACCUAUUGUAAUCUUUGCCUUAAUUUCAUUUUGUCAAACUAACCGUGAUGAGGGCGAGUUCCAAGAAGAGAGGCUCGGUGUUGAUGCAGCAAAAUCAUCUUCCUUCUUACGACCACCGUGUUCCUUGUAGUCGCGGAAGCAGCGCUUGCAGCGAGUCGGCCAUCGCACUUGCGGGUGGAAGCCCAAGGGACAGAGCGGAUCUCCUUUAGCCAUUGGAUACAUAUGGUGCAUCUUUAUUGAACCAAAUACACUAUUAUCAAAUGCAA
Molecule: long non-coding RNA, 453 nt
Organism: Danaus plexippus (monarch butterfly)
Lineage: Eukaryota; Metazoa; Arthropoda; Insecta; Lepidoptera; Nymphalidae
Exons: 2
Source: RefSeq, a predicted model, not a curated record